CUCCGUUUUAUUUGCGUGUAAUGCGGGCCGAGAAUAAAAUUUACAGUUAUAUUCAGUCUGGAUUUACAUGAUACUCCAGUUAUACAUCGAGCGCACCGAACCGCCCCUUAAUAUAACAGAGGUCUAUGACUCCAUAUAUCGAAGUGUCAAGCGUGAUGUUUUGUAUUUAAAUUUUUGGCGUGAAAGUGCGAUACUUCUUUGCCGAUUUUUUGUAUCAUUUUAUGUUUAUAUCAAGUCUCGUUUAUUUUCGUAAUAAAGCUUAAGAGGGCCUCUCAGUAAAAUCCACCCACUGUUUGGGGAAGGGAAAAUAGAUUUAGCUCAUAUUUUG
Non-coding RNA from Paramuricea clavata, 328 nucleotides. NCBI's taxonomy places the organism in Eukaryota, Metazoa, Cnidaria, Anthozoa, Malacalcyonacea, Plexauridae. The record is from the annotation of a GenBank genome assembly.